RNAcentral lists this ribosomal RNA (408 nucleotides) under bacterium enrichment culture clone ALO1_GLFRUDD03GPNYW. RNAcentral describes it as "bacterial SSU rRNA". It matches the Rfam family "Bacterial small subunit ribosomal RNA", at positions 9 to 417 of the family's 1533-position model. The record is from RNAcentral. RNAcentral also lists the same sequence under 1 other name.
GAGUUUGAUCGUGGCUCAGAUUGAACGCUGGCGGCAUGCCUUACACAUGCAAGUCGAACGGCAGCACGGGAGCUUGCUCCUGGUGGCGAGUGGCGAACGGGUGAGUAAUGCAUCGGAACGUAUCCUGGAGUGGGGGAUAACGUAGCGAAAGUUACGCUAAUACCGCAUAUUCUGUGAGCAGGAAAGCGGGGGGACCUUCGGGCCUCGCGCUCUUGGAGCGGCCGAUGUCGGAUUAGCUAGUUGGUGAGGUAAAGGCUCACCAAGGCGACGAUCCGUAGCAGGUCUGAGAGGAUGAUCUGCCACACUGGAACUGAGACACGGUCCAGACUCCUACGGGAGGCAGCAGUGGGAAUUUUGGACAAUGGGGGCAACCCUGAUCCAGCCAUGCCGCGUGAGUGAAGAAGGCCU